This 1142-nucleotide long non-coding RNA is filed under the name Musa acuminata (dwarf banana). RNAcentral's name for it is "long non-coding RNA (MACU_LNC009948)". Lineage: Eukaryota; Viridiplantae; Streptophyta; Magnoliopsida; Zingiberales; Musaceae. The record is from RNAcentral.
UGAACAGCAAACCUAAUGGAACUCUUAAUAAUAAGAUUCAAUUAGGACAAGAGAAAUCUCCUUCAUCAGCAUAUACUUCUUAGAACUUAGCUUAGAAAUCGAAUCAUAGCAUGUUCUUUCUCGGUGGUUUGUCAUCAGGUUGAGGAUAUAAUGUCUUUAUUCAAUCAUGUAAUAUGGUAUUCUUGAUGACUAUCUACAUCUUUUCCACUAGUGCUUGGAGGACAGUAUGCUUAUUGGAGGGCUUUGCUAUGCAUGGAGGAAAAAGAUAGGCCUUUUCUCAUCAGAACACAAUGUUGUGGAUUCAUCAGCCAUCACCAUGGGCAGCUUUAGAGCAAGAACACAUGCAAACAGCUACUGCAGCUGCCUUCGUGUUGCUUUGUUGGAGCGGAGUGGAGUGAGAGGACCACUAAAACUCCAUGGUGGAAGGGAAGAAAAGCUAACCAGUCUGAAGCAGAAACUUACUAGCUUUAAAGUACUGUAUGUGCUAAGCCCAUUAUAGCCAUGGAAAUGCUUGCUGUGCUCUCAAAUUCUCGGUAUAAUCAUUAAAACAAAGACUUGAUCGAUCCCUACACGUCUCCAACUCACUCACUCACCUCUCUUUCUUGAUUGAGAUGUAAAGAUCUGUUGGAAGCAGCACUGCUGUUGAUCCCAUUCUAGUGAGGGCUGUGCUCUCUGGUGGCAGAUGAAUUAGGAUAACAAGAUCUUGCUUUCACAGAUAUGGGAUGACAAAGUGCAUUCAUUGGUGACAGUUCUCCACAAUCUUCUUUUGGGGGAAAGAGCCAUUUGAAUGGGUGCAUGGUGAUCAUUUGAGGAUUGAAGAAACAACAUGAAGAGAAAGGGACAAAGAUUGGGAGUGGACACACUGCAAUGGAGCAAUUGGGAGAAAUACUUCAGCUUGAUCUUACUAAAAGAAAAGCAAACUUUCUUUGUGGCACUUUGAGAUUUGAUUAAAACAGGUUGGAGAGGCCUUACUCGACUCCCACUGAAAGAACAUGAAUGCUUUGUCAUAUGCUUUCCACCUUGGUGAUGGUAUUGAUGUGGUGGUGCCUAUAAUGGAGCUUUAUGGUGUUGACAUGGCACCCAUGUAGUGAUGUAGACGAUAGUGUAUCUCCAAUAAUUGACCUACAUUAUCUUAAAAAAAA